This 285-nucleotide ribosomal RNA is filed under the name uncultured bacterium. RNAcentral's name for it is "partial 16S ribosomal RNA". It matches the Rfam family "Bacterial small subunit ribosomal RNA", at positions 30 to 342 of the family's 1533-position model. The record is from RNAcentral.
AUUGAACGCUGGCGGCAUGCCUAACACAUGCAAGUCGAACGAGACCUUCGGGUCUAGUGGCGCACGGGUGCGUAACGCGUGGGAACCUGCCUUUAGGUUCGGAAUAACUCAGAGAAAUUUGAGCUAAUACCGGAUAAUGUCUUCGGACCAAAGAUUUAUCGCCUUUAGAUGGGCCCGCGUUGGAUUAGCUAGUUGGUGGGUAAAGGCCUACCAAGGCGACGAUCCAUAGCUGGUCUGAGAGGAUGAUCAGCCACACUGGGACUGAGACACGGCCCAGACUCCUAC